RNAcentral lists this ribosomal RNA (1439 nucleotides) under human oral metagenome. Its description in RNAcentral is "bacterial LSU rRNA". It matches the Rfam family "Bacterial large subunit ribosomal RNA", at positions 1097 to 2524 of the family's 2925-position model. The record is from RNAcentral.
GAUGUUGGCUUAGAAGCAGCCAUACAUUUAAAGAGUGCGUAAUAGCUCACUGGUCAAGUGGUAGAGCGCCGAAAAUGAACGGGGCUAAAAUCUAAUACCGAAGCUGUGGACUAAUUAAAUUAGUGGUAGAGGAGCAUUGUGUAAGGGAUGAAGCUAAGCUGGAAGGCGAAGUGGACUUUACAGAAGAGAGAAUGCUGGCAUGAGUAGCGAAAAGGAGGGUGAGAAUCCCUCCCGUCGAAAGCCUAAGGAUUCCUGAGGAAGGCUCGUCCUCUCAGGGUAAGUCGGGACCUAAGCCCAGGCUGAAAAGCGUAAGCGAUGGACAACAGGUUGAGAUUCCUGUACUAUCUUUGAAUGUUUGAGAGAAGUACUGACGCAGGAGGAUAUGUUGAGCGUGUGAAUGGUAGAGCACGUCUAAGCAAGUAGGUAGAGAAUAGAGGCAAAUCCCUAUUUUUAAUAUCGAGAUGUGAUGGGGAGCGAAAAACAAGUAGUGAAGCAACAAAUUCCAAACUGCCAAGAAAAGGUACUAUUGAGUGAGAAGAUACCCGUACCAAAACCGACACAGGUAGGCAAGGAGAGAAUCCUAAGACGCGCGGAAGAACCUUUGUUAAGGAACUCGGCAAAAUGACCCCGUAACUUCGGGAGAAGGGGUACCAUUAGAUGUGAAGAGCAUACGCUCGGAGCAUAGAGUGGUCGCAGAGAAUAGGCCCAAGCAACUGUUUACCAAAAACACAAGUCUCUGCUAAAUCGAAAGAUGAAGUAUAGGGGCUGACACCUGCCCGGUGCUGGAAGGUUAAGGGGAAAUGUUAGAGCAAUCGAAGCAUAGAACUUAAGCCCCAGUAAACGGCGGCCGUAACUAUAACGGUCCUAAGGUAGCGAAAUUCCUUGUCGGGUAAGUUCCGACCCGCACGAAAGGUGUAAUGAUUUGGGCACUGUCUCAACAAAGGAUCCGGUGAAAUUGUAGUAGUCGUGAAGAUGCGACUUACCCACGAUAGGACGGAAAGACCCCGUGGAGCUUUACUGUAGGCUGGCAUUGGAAUUUGGUAUUAAAUGUACAGGAUAGGUGGGAGACUGAGAAACGAGAGCGCCAGUUUUCGUGGAGUCAAUGUUGGGAUACCACUCUUUUGAUACUAAAUUUCUAACUUGAUACUCUGAAGCGAGUAUAAGGACACUGUCAGUUGGGCAGUUUGACUGGGGCGGUCGCCUCCUAAAGAGUAACGGAGGCGUUCAAAGGUUCCCUCAGAAUGGAAGGAAAUCAUUCAAAGAGUGCAAAGGCAAAAGGGAGCUUAACUGCGACACCAACAAGUGGAGCAGAUAGGAAACUAGGACUUAGUGAUCCGGUGGUACCGAGUGGAAGGGCCAUCGCUCAACGGAUAAAAGCUACCCCGGGGAUAACAGGCUUAUCUCCCCCAAGAGUUCACAUCGACGGGGAGGUUUGGCAC